CCUACGGGUCGCAGCAGUGGGGAAUAUUGCACAAUGGGCGCAAGCCUGAUGCAGCCAUGCCGCGUGUGUGAAGAAGGCCUUCGGGUUGUAAAGCACUUCCAGCGGGGAGGAAGGCGAUAAGGUUAAUAACCUUGUCGAUUGACGUUACCCGCAGAAGAAGCACCGGCUAACUCCGUGCCAGCAGCCGCGGUAAUACGGAGGGUGCAAGCGUUAAUCGGAAUUACUGGGCGUAAAGCGCACGCAGUCGGUCUGGCAAGUCGGAUGUGAAAUCCCCGGGCUCAACCUGGGAACUGCAUUCGAAACUGGCAGGUUAGAGUCUUGUAGAGGGGGGUAGAAUUCCAGGUGUAGCGGUGAAAUGCGUAGAGAUCUGGAGGAAUACCGGUGGCGAAGGCGGCCCCCUGGACAAAGACUGACGCUCAGGUGCGAAAGCGUGGGGAGCAAACAGGAUUAUAUACCCUCGUAGUC
This 465-nucleotide ribosomal RNA is filed under the name uncultured bacterium. Its description in RNAcentral is "bacterial SSU rRNA". It matches the Rfam family "Bacterial small subunit ribosomal RNA", at positions 338 to 795 of the family's 1533-position model. The record is from RNAcentral.